This 661-nucleotide long non-coding RNA is filed under the name Salmo salar (Atlantic salmon). Its description in RNAcentral is "lncRNA (ENSSSAG00000110420.1)". Lineage: Eukaryota; Metazoa; Chordata; Actinopteri; Salmoniformes; Salmonidae. The record is from RNAcentral.
AGUGGUGAGGGCCACAGCACGGGGAGAGAAACUGUUCAGGUAGAGAGUGGUGAGGGCCACAGCACGGGGAGAGAAACUGUUCAGGUGGAGAGUGGUGAGGGCCACAGCACGGGGAGAGAAACUGUUCAGGUAGAGGGUUUUGAGGGCCACAGCACGGGGAGAGAAACUGUUCAGGUGGAGAGUGGUGAGGGCCACAGCACAGGGAGAGAAACUGUUCAGGUGGAGAGUGGUGAGUGGUGAGGGCCACAGCACGGGGAGAGAAACUGUUCAGGUGGAGAGUGGUGAGGGCCACAGCACAGGGAGAGAAACUGUUCAGGUGGAGGCUGGUUUGUCAUGAUUAACCUGAACCGUUUGCAAGAAGAGAGUCUUCAGGGCAUGCUAAAAAUGAUUUGCAUGUCAUACAGGAUACUGCUGAAGUCUUUGCAUAGUCAUGCAUUUAAAUCUAAAACCCUCAAGCUGAGCUCACUGCUCAGACUUUGUUGAAGUAAUCUAGCAGACGGCUGAACCAGGGUCAGUUUUUAGAUGUGUUUCUUUGUUGAAGUAGUCUAGCAGAGGGCUGAACCAGGGUCAGUUUUUAGACGUGUUUCUUUGUUGAAGUAGUCUAGCAGAGGGCUGAACCAGGGUCAGUUUUUAGACGUGUUUCUUUAUUGAAGUAGUCUAG